RNAcentral lists this ribosomal RNA (1152 nucleotides) under Triticum aestivum (bread wheat). Its description in RNAcentral is "partial small subunit ribosomal RNA". Lineage: Eukaryota; Viridiplantae; Streptophyta; Magnoliopsida; Poales; Poaceae. The record is from RNAcentral.
AUGAACUCCCUCACGGCCACCGGCAGCAGCAGCGGCGCCGGCAGCAGCGGCGGGGGCGGCGGCGGCGAGAUGAGGGCGGCCGACGGCGAGGGGUACCUGCGGGCCGACGGAUUCGACCUCGUCAACCUCGACAUGCAGCUGGAGAAGACGCGCUCCAGGGUCUGGCUGGAUCAGCAGCGGGGCGCCUCGCCCGCGCAGCCCGGGGAGCUCCUCGAGUGGGAGAUCGACCUCGCCAAGCUCGACAUCCAGAACCAGGUCGCCAGCGGCACCUUCGGCGUCGUCUACCGCGGCACCUACGACGGCAACGACGUGGCAGUGAAGGUACUGGACUGGGGGCAGGAAGGUCAGGAGAGCUCGUCGAAGCACCGGGAGGCCUUUGAGAAGGAGGUGGCUGUGUGGCAGAAGCUCGAUCACCCCAAUGUCACAAAGUUCGUGGGGGCGUCGAUGGGGACGUCCCAGCUGAAGAUCCCGGCGUCGAAGAAGGGCGGCAGCAGCCACGGGCCAGGCCAGCGCUGUGUGGUGGUGGUGGAGUACCAGCAUGGCGGCACCCUGAAGACGCUGCUGUUCCAGCACCGGGACAAGAAGCUGCCUUACAAGAAGGUGGUCCAGCUGGCGCUGGACAUGGCGAGAGGGCUGAGCUACCUGCACUCGCAGAAGAUCGUGCACCGGGACGUAAAGGCGGAGAACAUGCUGCUGGACAGGAAGAAGUCGGUGAAGAUCGCGGACUUUGGGGUGGCCCGUGUGGAGGCGCAGGACGACGACAACAUGACGGGGCAGACGGGCACGCUGGGGUACAUGGCCCCCGAGGUGCUGGAGGGGCGGCCGUACGACCACAAGUGCGACGUGUACAGCUUCGGCGUCCUGCUGUGGGAGACGUACUGCUGCGCCUUGGCGUACCCGAACUACAGCAUCGCCGACAUCUCGUACCACGUGGUGAAGCUGGGCAUCCGGCCCGACAUCCCGCGGUGCUGCCCCAAGCCGCUGUCGGAGAUCAUGACCCGGUGCUGGGACGGCAACCCGGACCACCGGCCGGAGAUGGCCGAGGUGGUGGCGAUGCUGGAGAGGAUCGACACCACCAAGGGCAAGAGCAUGACGCCCGCCGUCCCCGACCACACCUCGCAGGGCUGCAGCUGCUUCGGCUUCUCCAAGUAG